CAACUUGAGAGUUUGAUCCUGGCUCAGAACGAACGCUGGCGGCAUGCCUAACACAUGCAAGUCGAACGAAGGCCCUAGCUUGCUAGGUGUCCUUAGUGGCGAACGGGUGAGUAACGCGUGGGAACCUGCCCUAGAGUGGGGAACAACCUUUGGAAACGAAGGCUAAUACCGCAUACGCUCUGAGGAGGAAAGGCUUCGGCCGCUCUUGGAUGGUCCCGCGUCUGAUUAGCUUGUUGGUGGGGUAACGGCCUACCAAGGCGACGAUCAGUAGCUGGUC
Molecule: ribosomal RNA, 277 nt
Filed under: Rhodospirillales bacterium
Lineage: Bacteria; Pseudomonadati; Pseudomonadota; Alphaproteobacteria; Rhodospirillales
Description: partial 16S ribosomal RNA
Rfam family: Bacterial small subunit ribosomal RNA
Source: RNAcentral